GUGAUAUGCUUCGAUAUAUUCAGGAGAGUAAGGAAAGAGCUGCGGAAAUGGUAAAGGCAGAGGUGUUAAGGGAACGGCAAGACACUGCCCGAAAGAUGCGCAAGUAUUAUCUGACUUGUCUCCAACAGAUUUUGCAGGAUAAUGGCAAAGAAGAAGGGGCUGAGAAAAAAAUCAUAAAUGCUGCUAGCAAACUUGCUACAAUGGCAAAACUGCUGGAAACGCCUACUUCUCAUAGAUCCCAGAGUAAGGCUGCACACUCAGGUUUGUCCAGGCGGGUUGCUGGCAUAUUUUCUCUCUCUCUUUUUCAUUUGUAUAUUUAAUGUUUCCUAUAUGAAAAAGAGUAGGAAUAUAAGGAGUAGAGCUAAUUUAUAAGGUUGUAUGUGGGGCAGUGAGAGGAGAGGAAACUGGAAAUUUAGGAAAAAAGAGCAUCAAGUUUCCAGUUCCAGUGGGUAGACUGUACAACCCCAGCACCACCCUUGUCCUGAGAAAGGAUGGAAGAGGCUUUAAAUGACAACACAUGAGAAAAGGGCAGCGUUAGAACCGCAUCUUAAGAGGUUGUAAUGGAGAGACAGGAAGCUAUGAUGAAUCCCUGAAAGAAAGACCAUGGUAUGUGAUUGAGGAUGGGAAGCUUCAGUUCAAAACUGCUGCAUGACAGCUAUAAGUAGGAGCAGUAUCAAACUGUACCAAAUGUGGUGAUGGUAUAUCCCAGAAGUAGUGCCCCUGCCCAUACCCAGGUGCUUAGCUGGAGAUAUAGAACAGCAGUCAGAUGGAGUCACUCUAUUUCUCUCCCCUCCCUUUACCUCCCUUCCCAUCUGUUCCUUCUUCCUCUGCCCCCUUCCCCACCUCUCUUCCCCUGUCCUUUUCCCCAACCCUAGCGUUUGGCUGGGCAGUGGGAACAGGGCAGCAGUCCAGGUGUCUGGCUAUCAAGAACUAGCAGCCAUCGUGCCCAGAGUACCUCCAGCUCAUCGCCUUUCCUGUCACCAACUCCUUUAGUCAAACAAGAAAAGCAAACAGUAUUAAGGCUAUCUAAGAGAUAAAGAUUUAACCAAAUACCACCAUCAUUAUGAAAAAAGAGACCAAACUAGCAACAAUAGAGCCAAUGAAAUUCAUACCCAAGGCAAAAGAAUACUUAAACAAGCAGCAGGACCUGAGAAUGUUCAAAAGUAGAGGAUUCUUAGGUGUAAGAGAAUAUGAUAGAAGAAACUAAAAAUAUGCUAAAAUUUUUACAAUUUUCAAAGAGAAGUUA
Molecule: long non-coding RNA, 1246 nt
Filed under: Nannospalax galili (Upper Galilee mountains blind mole rat)
Lineage: Eukaryota; Metazoa; Chordata; Mammalia; Rodentia; Spalacidae
Description: lncRNA (ENSNGAG00000024394.1)
Source: RNAcentral